AUUCACACCAGUGACCUGCUGGAGGUCAUUUUGUAGCUCUGGCAGUGCUCAUCUUGUUCUUCCUGGCACAAAGAAGCCGAUACCUGCCCUGCUGAUGAGUUAAGGAUCUUCUCUGUCCCUGUCCAGCUCUUCUAGAGUAAAAACCUAUCUCCCGGAUUCUCCUCCAUGCUCUUGAGAUUGUGCUGGGACACAGCAAACCUUCUGACAAUAACACGUAUCCUGGAUGAGAUGAACUGCCUGUGCAACCUCUGUAUCCAUAUCGCCUCAUGCUACCAGCAGCCAAAUGCAAAACUAGUGAACAAACAGUAAGAAAAGAUGAGAAGGGAAAAGUGUCCCCCACAUGUGAAACCAUUAUCUCUCAUUGCUGCCCUUGUAGUGCACCUGUCGUCAAUUUCAUUAACACUAAAGCAGAUGAAACUGAUCAACAUCCCCCCUCUGGUACUUACAGCUGAACAGAUCAGUUUAACUAACUUGAUGCUGUACUCUGAUUAAAAACUGUUCCUUGCGAUUGUACUCAUAGUCUUUCCUUUCUCCCAUAGGUUCACAGGAAGGAAUAUGUUCAGAAAAAGAAACGGGAAGUGACAUCCAAAAUAUUUUAAUAGGAGUUCUUAUCAUGACGAACAUCAUUGUCCCCAUGGCAAUUUAUCUGUACAUGCGUAACCAGAUUCAGCAGAUUCCAAACUUGAGGGAAGAAGUAAGAAUGACAGAGAUGCAGCAAAACACAUUUCCCAGGGAUGUUGAAGAGGGUUCCAUUUUAUUAACGACGCCCGAGAGUUCCAUCAUCAUAAAUUCACCUGAAAACACCAUAAUUUAAAGCCCUUGCCCAAAUAGAACACACCAUUAGAAGUUCUGAGCUGCUGAGAAUCUGGAUAAAUCUGGAUACGAGGAUCUGCCUUACACAGAUCUGGACUUACACAGUCCAGGUGAAGUAAAGGUGGUCUGUGAAGGCCUAUGCGCCUAAAGGUGGAUAAGCUUCCAAUGUGAAGAAGAGUGGGACCAAACAAGCCACAGCAUGCCUGUUCAUGUAACUGCUCUGCAGUCGCACAUCAAGAUUGUUUUCUGUCCGCCUCAUGCAAAAUGUUUUACUGCUGUGCUGGUUUUAAGUGACCAAGGUCUUACCAGAAGAAGUGCACUGCAGAAAAUCUGUUUUAACACGAACAAUAACGAGUUGGUUUUUUGUCAUAUUUAGAAUAAUUUUAAACACAAAGACACAGAUUAUGCGUGUAGUCAGUAAACAUAUAUAUGUGUGUGUCUCUGUGUGUUAAAGUGUUCCACUGUGCAGACUACUAUAUUUAGUGUGACUGCGAAAGAAAAAAGUUACGUUUUUAUGGCUAAUGGACUAAUUGCCUCUGUUCAUGUGUGCAUAUUUGGGGAAAGGUUUGGUGGCUUUUUUUCUAUUCCUUGUAUGUAUUAAGUAUGUUGUGAUAAAGCUUCAGCUGAAAAGCUAAAAGUGCCUAAAAAAAAUUAAAUAUUAUAAUUUUUUUAUUGCACAAUGCACAUUAAGCGAAGCCACCAUAAAAAAUUGAGCUUUUACCUUUUUCUAAGCCAGCUGUGCUAGCUUUACCCCUAAAAUGUGAUCUUAUCUGUUAACAGUUGUUCUAGAUAAGUUCUCACUGUACAGUCUUCAUACAUCCAUCGAAUGUGUUUGUGUUUCAUGGAAGUAUAAAUAGAAAAGUCCCUACCACAA
Molecule: long non-coding RNA, 1687 nt
Organism: Pundamilia nyererei
Lineage: Eukaryota; Metazoa; Chordata; Actinopteri; Cichliformes; Cichlidae
Exons: 6
Source: RefSeq, a predicted model, not a curated record